AACCGGAUUAGAUACCCUGGUAGUCCACGCCGUAAACGGUGGGUACUAGGUGUGGGUUUCCUUCCUUGGGAUCCGUGCCGUAGCUAACGCAUUAAGUACCCCGCCUGGGGAGUACGGCCGCAAGGCUAAAACUCAAAGAAAUUGACGGGGGCCCGCACAAGCGGCGGAGCAUGUGGAUUAAUUCGAUGCAACGCGAAGAACCUUACCUGGGUUUGACAUGCACAGGACGACGGUAGAGAUAUCGUUUCCCUUGUGGCCUGUGUGCAGGUGGUGCAUGGCUGUCGUCAGCUCGUGUCGUGAGAUGUUGGGUUAAGUCCCGCAACGAGCGCAACCCUUGUCUCAUGUUGCCAGCGCGUUAUGGCGGGGACUCGUGAGAGACUGCCGGGGUCAACUCGGAGGGAGGUGGGGAUGACGUCAAGUCAUCAUGCCCCUUAUGUCCAGGGCUUCACACAUGCUACAAUGGCCGGUACAAAGGGCUGCGAUGCCGCGAGGCUUAGCGAAUCCUUUAAAGCCGGUCUCAGUUCGGAUCGGGGUCUGCAACUCGACCCCGUGAAGUCGGAGUCGCUAGUAAUCGCAGAUCAGCAACGCUGCGGUGAAUACGUUCCCGGGCCUUGUACACACCGCCCGUCCCGUCAUGAAAGUCGGUAACACCCGAAGCCAGUGGCCUAACCCUUGUGGGGGGAGCUGUCGAAGGUGGGAUCGGCGAUUGGGACGAAGUCGUAACAAGGUAACCGUAAAU
RNAcentral lists this ribosomal RNA (739 nucleotides) under uncultured endophytic bacterium. RNAcentral's name for it is "bacterial SSU rRNA". It matches the Rfam family "Bacterial small subunit ribosomal RNA", at positions 771 to 1507 of the family's 1533-position model. The record is from RNAcentral.